CCGGGUAGCGGGAGAAAUAAAGAACCAAGAUAAGGCGCCACGGGCUGCCCUAGACAGAGCAAAUAGAGCUGGGGUUCCAAGGGGGGGUGGGGACGGGGGAGAAGAGUGGGGAAAAUGUCAAGGCGCGCAUGCGCGCUCUUCUCAGGUGAGGCGACCGACCUGUGGGCGCAGCUGCGCGGAGGGUGAGGAAGGCUGCCGAGGCGGAAAGAGGGCGCGUGUCUGGUUACUAGGAGACCAGACGCUGGUGUCGCGGGGAAGGGGAGGGGGCAGCUUUUGAACCACGAGAGGGAGGCUGAAUGGGGGGGCUGGCGCGAAGGCGGAAUCGCGGGCACGCGCCGAGGGUGCGAGCUCGUUGGAAGGGCGGGUGAGCAGGUAGACGUGUACGUCACUAGCUGUGAGUGCGUGGCUGGCAGCGUGCCUCCUAGUAAGUAGGCGUACGGGCGCUAGAGGGUCGAGCCCAGUCGAGUGCACGCGGGCCGCGGGAGUGAGCCAGAGCGAGGGCGCCACGGCCGUGGAGGAGGUGGAGGAGGAGCCCCCCGCAGGUACGCAGGCGUGUGGGCGGGGCCCGGCGGUUAGCACCGCCUCCUCCUCCGCCCUGCCCCGCCUCCCGUUUCCCUUCUCCACCUGGGCGGGGCCGGGUUGAUUUGGGUGUUGGGAAGGGCGACUACGAGGGGGAACGGGAAGGGGAAGGAGGCAGGGCCUGGCCGCCGCCCGCGGGGACUAGCGCCUGGAUGAGUGGGGGAGGCCUUCAGUUCUGACCGGAAAGGCUGUGAGGACGGGGAGAAUCUGAGUGGGUGUCCCGCCCCCCCCGUCCUCUCCCUCUGGGGACUCCGGGAGGAGGGAGGAGGGCCCCCCCACCUGCUUGGAGUCGGGGGGGCGGGGCGGGGGAGGAGGUCCGAGGGGAGGAGGUCCGAGGGGAGGAGGAGGUGGUCCGGGCGGAGGCGGUCUCUCGGGAGCCCAGGGCCAAGCCCAGUUCCUAUGGUGACCGCUUCACUUCUUCCCGCGUCUCUUGGCUGGGCUGUUGGGAAGGCUGCUCUAGGAGGGGCGCGUCUGGGGAGAGGUUACCACCAAAGAACAUGAUUUUGGCCUAGGGGCUCCAAUAAAAAAAGCUGAGAAAUAUCGUAAUACUCCCCA
This 1134-nucleotide long non-coding RNA is filed under the name Phascolarctos cinereus (koala). RNAcentral describes it as "lncRNA (ENSPCIG00000034686.1)". The record is from RNAcentral. Lineage: Eukaryota; Metazoa; Chordata; Mammalia; Diprotodontia; Phascolarctidae.